UAGGGAAUUUUCCACAAUGGGGGCAACCCUGAUGGAGCAACGCCGCGUGCAGGAUGAAUGUCUUCGGAUUGUAAACUGCUUUUAUCUGUGACGAAUAUGACGGUAGCAGAUGAAUAAGGAUCGGCUAACUCCGUGCCAGCAGCCGCGGUCAUACGGAGGAUCCAAGCGUUAUCCGGAAUUACUGGGCGUAAAGAGUUGCGUAGGUGGCAUAGUAAGCAGGUAGUGAAAUCGUGUGGCUCAACCAUACUCACAUUACCUGAACUGCUAAGCUAGAGGAUGAGAGAGGUUAUUGGAAUUCCCUGUGUAGGAGUGAAAUCCGUAGAUAUAGGGAGGAACACCGAUGGCGUAGGCAGAUAACUGGCUCAUUCCUGACACUCAGGCACGAAAGCGUGGGGAGCAAACGGGAUUAGAUACCCCCGUAGUCC
This 425-nucleotide ribosomal RNA is filed under the name uncultured bacterium. RNAcentral describes it as "bacterial SSU rRNA". It matches the Rfam family "Bacterial small subunit ribosomal RNA", at positions 355 to 796 of the family's 1533-position model. The record is from RNAcentral.